UAGGGAAUCUUGCACAAUGGGCGAAAGCCUGAUGCAGCAACGCCGCGUGAAGGAUGAAGGCCUUCGGGUUGUAAACUUCUGUUCUAAGGGAAGAAACAAAUGACGGUACCUUAGGAGCAAGCCCCGGCUAACUACGUGCCAGCAGCCGCGGUAAUACGUAGGGGGCAAGCGUUAUCCGGAAUUAUUGGGCGUAAAGAGUGCGUAGGUGGUUACCUAAGCGCAAGGUUUAAUUUAGAGGCUCAACCUCUACUUGCCUUGCGAACUGGGCUACUUGAGUGCAGGAGGGGAAAGCGGAAUUCCUAGUGUAGCGGUGAAAUGCGUAGAUAUUAGGAGGAACACCAGCGGCGAAGGCGGCUUUCUGGACUGUAACUGACACUGAGGCACGAAAGCGUGGGUAGCAAACAGGAUUAGAUACCCUGGUAGUCCACGCCGUAAACGAUGAGCACUAGGUGUUGGGCCCGUUAGGGCUCAGUGCCGCAGUUAACGCAAUAAGUGCUCCGCCUGGGGAGUACGCUCGCAAGAGU
RNAcentral lists this ribosomal RNA (524 nucleotides) under uncultured bacterium. RNAcentral's name for it is "bacterial SSU rRNA". It matches the Rfam family "Bacterial small subunit ribosomal RNA", at positions 355 to 895 of the family's 1533-position model. The record is from RNAcentral.